Molecule: ribosomal RNA, 235 nt
Filed under: Leptopelis rufus (red treefrog)
Lineage: Eukaryota; Metazoa; Chordata; Amphibia; Anura; Arthroleptidae
Description: partial large subunit ribosomal RNA
Rfam family: Bacterial large subunit ribosomal RNA
Source: RNAcentral
GUGACCACAAUUUAACGGCCGCGGUACCCUAACCGUGCGAAGGUAGCAUAAUCACUUGUUUCCUAAAUAGAGACUAGUAUCAACGGCAUCACGAAGACUACACUGUCUCCCCCCUAAAAUCAAUGAAACUAAUCUCCUCGUGAAGAAGCGAGGAUGAACAUAUAAGACGAGAAGACCCCAUGGAGCUUUAAACAAACUUCAAUUGCUUUCCCCCCCCCCCCACCAAAAAAAUUAA